AAGUCGAACGGACAAUUGUUUAUAUCUUUGGUAUAAAUAAUUGUUAGUGGCAGACGGGUGAGUAAUGCGUAGGAAUCUACCUAGUAGUAUGGAAUAGCCAUUAGAAAUGAUGGGUAAUACUGUAUAAUCCCUGCGGGGGAAAGAUUUAUCGCUAUUAGAUGAGCCUACGUUAGAUUAGCUAGUUGGUAAGGUAAUGGCUUACCAAGGCUAUGAUCUAUAGCUGGUCUGAGAGGACGAUCAGCCACACUGGAACUGAGAUACGGUCCAGACUCCUACGGGAGGCAGCAGUGGGGAAUAUUGGACAAUGGGCGAAAGCCUGAUCCAGCUAUGCCGCGUGAGUGAAGAAGGCCUUCGGGUUGUAAAGCUCUUUCAAUAGGGAAGAUAAUGACGGUACCUACAGAAGAAGUCC
RNAcentral lists this ribosomal RNA (409 nucleotides) under uncultured Ehrlichia sp. RNAcentral's name for it is "bacterial SSU rRNA". It matches the Rfam family "Bacterial small subunit ribosomal RNA", at positions 59 to 493 of the family's 1533-position model. Lineage: Bacteria; Pseudomonadati; Pseudomonadota; Alphaproteobacteria; Rickettsiales; Anaplasmataceae. The record is from RNAcentral.